This 776-nucleotide ribosomal RNA is filed under the name uncultured bacterium. RNAcentral's name for it is "bacterial SSU rRNA". It matches the Rfam family "Bacterial small subunit ribosomal RNA", at positions 94 to 889 of the family's 1533-position model. The record is from RNAcentral.
AGCGGCGGACGGGUGAGUAACGCGUGGGCAAUCUGCCCUCUAGCCUGGGAUAACAGUUCGAAAGGACUGCUAACACCGGAUAUGCUCCCACCCUGGCAUCAGGGAGAGAGGAAAGUUUACACUAGAGGAUGAGCCCGCGUCCCAUUAGCUAGUUGGUGAGGUAACGGCCCACCAAGGCGACGAUGGGUAGCCGACCUGAGAGGGUGAACGGCCACACUGGGACUGAGACACGGCCCAGACUCCUACGGGAGGCAGCAGUAGGGAAUUUUCCGCAAUGGGCGAAAGCCUGACGGAGCAACGCCGCGUGAGGGAUGAAGGUUUUCGGAUCGUAAACCUCUGUCUUCAGGGACGAUAAUGACGGUACCUGAGGAGGAAGCCACGGCUAACUACGUGCCAGCAGCCGCGGUAAUACGUAGGUGGCAAGCGUUGUCCGGAAUUACUGGGCGUAAAGGGCGUGUAGGCGGCCUUUUAAGUCAGGCGUGAAAUCCAUGGGCUUAACCCAUGAAUUGCGUUUGAAACUGGAGGGCUUGAGGAUCGGAGAGGGCAGUGGAAUUCCCAGUGUAGCGGUGAAAUGCGUAGAUAUUGGGAGGAACACCAGUGGCGAAGGCGACUGCCUGGACGACACCUGACGCUGAGGCGCGAAAGCUAGGGGAGCAAACGGGAUUAGAUACCCCGGUAGUCCUAGCCGUAAACGAUGGGUACUAUGUGUGAGAGGUAUCAACCCCUUCCAUGCCGCAGCUAACGCAAUAAGUACUCCGCCUGGGGAGUACCGCCGC